UACGUAGGUGGCAAGCGUUAUCCGGAUUUAUUGGGUGUAAAGGUCGUGUAGGCGGGAGCGCAAGUCAGAUGUGAAAACUCAGGGCUCAACCCUGAGCCUGCAUUUGAAACUGUGUUUCUUGAGUGCUGGAGAGGCAAUCGGAAUUCCGUGUGUAGCGGUGAAAUGCGUAGAUAUACGGAGGAACACCAGUGGCGAAGGCGGAUUGCUGGACAGUAACUGACGCUGAGGCGCGAAAGCGUGGGGAGCAAACAGG
This 253-nucleotide ribosomal RNA is filed under the name uncultured bacterium. RNAcentral describes it as "partial 16S ribosomal RNA". It matches the Rfam family "Bacterial small subunit ribosomal RNA", at positions 524 to 776 of the family's 1533-position model. The record is from RNAcentral.